This 1235-nucleotide long non-coding RNA is filed under the name Equus asinus (donkey). Its description in RNAcentral is "lncRNA (ENSEASG00005030373.1)". Lineage: Eukaryota; Metazoa; Chordata; Mammalia; Perissodactyla; Equidae. The record is from RNAcentral.
AGAUGACCUGCUCCCUCAGGAACAGCUGCUACCUGGUUUAUCCUGAUCCUUCUGAAGGUCAAUCAAGAAAACAUAUCAAAGGCUUGGAAAAGGCAAAAGAGAUUCCUGGGUGUCCUUUCAGAGGAAGGCUGGGUAUCAGCGAGGUGUCCUCUGAUGAUGAUCUGAUUCUUUAGGGAUUGACCCUAAGCUAACAUCUGUGCCAGUCUUCCUCUACUUUAUAUAUGGGACGCUGCCACAGCAUGGCUUGAUGAGUAGUGCGAAGGUCCGAACCAGGGAUUGGAAUCUGUGAACCCUGGACCGCCAAAGCAGAAAGCGUGAACUUAACCACUACUCCAUGGAGGGACCACCGUGCCCAGUUGGUUUAAAUCAGCGCCUCUGAGAUGGCAGCACCAGGAGACCCCUUGGGCUCCAAGCAUCCAACCCCCAUGAGACAGCGGAGCUUCAUCCUGCAAGGCACGGCACCAAGUCAAAGAACUGGGUGAGCCCCCUCACACGGAGGGCGCUGGAUAGAGACGUUUAGUGUAACCAGAAAUUCAUUCUUUCCUCCAGCAAAUGUUUAUUAAGCAUCCACUAUGUUCCAGCUGUUAGAAGCCGUGGGGUUGCAACAGACAAUAAACCAAUAUAGUCUGUGUGAGUGUGUGUGUGUGUGUGUGUGUAUGUGUGUGAGAUGUUGAAAAGUUCUCCUAGGGAGAAAAAUUAAGACGGGAAGGGGAACAAGGAAUGUGGAAAUGGUUUGCAAUUUGAAAUAGGAUGGUGCAGGAAGGCCUUCUGGGAAGGGACCUUUGAAUAGAGAUCAGAAGAUAUGGUGGGAAUAAGCCAUGAAGACAUCUGAGGGAAGAGGGUCCCAGGCAGAGGGGACAGCAAGUGCAAAUGCCCUGGGGCAAGAUUGUGCUUGUCUUGGUUCAAGGAGCAGUGAAGAAGGCAGAGAGGGGGCUGAGGCAGGGGGCCAGAUGGAGUAAGGCCUUCCAGGUCACCAGGAUGCCCCAAAGUGGAUAUAAUACAUAGUGACAAAGGUACACAAUAGGAGUGAGGCCCAGAGCCGCUAAUUAGGCAACUCUAAACUUGUGUCUCAUUACCCAACCACACCUCCUGCAGUGCACUAUGAAUUAAUAUUUUCUAUAAAUCCUGUAAUUAUCUUGUGAAUAGCACAAUUAUAUUGCAUUGUAUUUGUAUGUGUUAAAAGCGCUCAUUUGUUAAAUGUAAACAUUUGAAAUAUACCAUAUAUUAUGCAGCCC